UGAGGAAUAUUGGUCAAUGGGCGAGAGCCUGAACCAGCCAAGUCGCGUGAGGGAAGAAUGGUCUAUGGCCUGUAAACCUCUUUUGUCAAGGAAGAAUAAGGAUGACGAGUCAUUCGAUGCCAGUACUUGACGAAUAAGCAUCGGCUAACUCCGUGCCAGCAGCCGCGGUAAUACGGGGGAUGCGAGCGUUAUCCGGAUUUAUUGGGUUUAAAGGGCGCGUAGGCGGGACGGCAAGUCAGCGGUAAAAGACUGCAGCUAAACUGUAGCACGCCGUUGAAACUGUUGACCUCGAGACGAGACGAGGGAGGCGGAACAAGUGAAGUAGCGGUGAAAUGCAUAGAUAUCGCUUGGAACCCCGAUAGCGAAGGCAGCUUCCCAGGCUCGUUCUGACGCUGAUGCGCGAGAGCGUGGGUAGCGAACAGGAUUAGAUACCCUGGUAGUCCACGCCGUAAACGAUGCUCACUGGAUCUUGGCGAUACACGGCCAGGGUUCAAGCGAAAGUAUUAAGUGAGCCACCUGGGGAGUACGUCGGCAACGAUGAAACUCAAAGGAAUUGACGGGGGCCCGCACAAGCGGAGGAACAUGUGGUUUAAUUCGAUGAUACGCGAGGAACCUUACCCGGGUUUAAAUGUAGAUUGCAUGAGGUGGAAACACUUCUUCCCUUCGGGGCUAUUUACAAGGUGCUGCAUGGUUGUCGUCAGCUCGUGCCGUGAGGUGUCGGGUUAAGUCCCAUAACGAGCGCAACCCCUAUCGCCAGUUGCCAUCGGUUCAAGCCGGGCACUCUGUCGAGACUGCCACCGUAAGGUGCGAGGAAGGCGGGGAUGACGUCAAAUCAGCACGGCCCUUACACCCGGGGCGACACACGUGUUACAAUGGCCGGUACAGAGGGCAGCCACGGGGUGACCCGGAGCGAAUCUCUAAAGCCGGUCGUAGUUCGGACUGGAGUCUGCAACCCGACUCCACGAAGUUGGAUUCGCUAGUAAUCGCGCAUCAGCCAUGGCGCGGUGAAUACGUUCCC
This 1018-nucleotide ribosomal RNA is filed under the name uncultured organism. RNAcentral describes it as "bacterial SSU rRNA". It matches the Rfam family "Bacterial small subunit ribosomal RNA", at positions 355 to 1375 of the family's 1533-position model. The record is from RNAcentral.